GGAAUGGCAGUUAGGGCAACUGGAAGGCUGGGAGCUGAAAUCACCUGAAGUCUCAUUCACUCACAUGUCUGAUGGUUGAUAUUGUCUAUCAGAAAUUACCCAGUCUCGAUUCCUGGGCAAGAUGGCCGAAUAGGAACAGCUCCAGUCUGCAGCUCCUAGCAAGAUCAAUGCAGAAGGCAGGUGAUUUCUGCAUUUCCAACUGAGGUACCCUGCUCAUCUCAUUGGGACUGGUUAGACAAUGGGUGCAGCCCACAGAGGGGGAGCAGAAGCAGGAUGGGGCGUCACCUCAUCCAGGAAGUGCAAGGGGUUGGGGAACUCCCUCCCCUAACCAAGAGAAGCCAUGAAGGACUGUGCCUUGAUGAACAGUGCAUUCUGGCCCAGAUGCUAUGCUUUUCUUACAGUCUUGGCAACCCACACACCAGGAAAUUCCUUCGGGAGAAAUACUAACUACUUUUGACACAUCUGGCUUAUCACAGAAGAACUCAUGAUUUACCAAUUGUUUUCCUUUGGUUUCAUCAGUUUCCUCUUUGUGCAGUGUUAUGCCUCAUCAUACAAGAAUGUCAUGUUUCCCCAUUAUGUUAGUGUAUACAAGAUGAAGAAAAUAUGUUUUCCAAGUAACAUUCUGAACAUAAAGUACAUAUUUUCCAUCACUUCUAAUUUAGAGCACAACAGUUUCUUUCUGGUUUCUAACAGGACACAAACUAAAUAUAAAAUUUGAAGAACACCAUAAUUGCAAUGAUAUAUAAAAUGCUAUUUGUGUAAAUACUAAUAACCAUACAUUUUUCUUAUUCACAUGUCAAUGUGUGGUUUUCAUAUACGUUACAUAUUUUUAAAAGGUCUUAAUGAUGUGAUGUAUCUGAUUACUUAGAGUGGCAGAGGCACUCUUCACUGGUUACUAAUUACUGCUCUAUCAGGGUUUCUAAUCAUUUUUGAAUCACAGAUAAGCUUGAGAACCUGAUGAAAAUCAUGCCCCAUGUUUCUAGAAGAAAUACAUAAACCUGGACGUAUAUGCACAUAUAAAUUUGCAUACCUUUUUGGAGAUUAAAAAGCCUGAUUUAAAGGAAUAUAAUUUUGGGAUAUUGGGGUUAAUGUCAAAGGAAAAAUAAAGAGCAUAACAUUGAAGGCAUAGCAA
RNAcentral lists this long non-coding RNA (1132 nucleotides) under Homo sapiens (human). Its description in RNAcentral is "HSALNT0329413". Lineage: Eukaryota; Metazoa; Chordata; Mammalia; Primates; Hominidae. The record is from RNAcentral.